RNAcentral lists this long non-coding RNA (231 nucleotides) under Populus trichocarpa (black cottonwood). RNAcentral describes it as "long non-coding RNA (PTRI_LNC003284)". The record is from RNAcentral. Lineage: Eukaryota; Viridiplantae; Streptophyta; Magnoliopsida; Malpighiales; Salicaceae.
UUUUUUAUAUCUUUUUUGUUAAAUUUAUUUUUCUUUUCAAUUCCACCCUCCAAUAGAAAAUUUAUAGUUUUCCUUUAAAUUAUUUUUUAUUUUAUUUUUAUUCUUUUAAUUACUAUUUUUUUCUCUUAAUAUUUUUUUAAAAGUUAUCCUGCAAUUUUUUUUAAAGUUAAGUAAUGCUUUUAUUAAUCAUUGAAGUUACCUUUUGAAUUCAUUAAAUUGAUUGAUUCAUAC